CCGAUCCCCGGCCGGUUGCCCGUUCUGGUAAGUUCCCGUCGCGUGAAGCGGGGUGAGUCCCUUUCCCUCGCCUCUGGCGCGUCGGGGGCCCCAGUGGCGGGCGAUGGUCUUUUUAUUCUGUGGAAACCUGCUCGCAGGGGGGCGCAGGCCCGGGACUUGCCACCGAGCAUUGGUCCUUCCUCGUUGUCGGGCGGUCGGAGGCGGGAGGGCGGGCGGGCUGUCGGCAAGUACCAUGAGCAGGCAUGUUGGGACCCGAAAGAUGGUGAACUAUGCCUGGCCAGGAUGAAGCCAGAGGAAACUCUGGUGGAGGUCCGUAGCGAUUCUGACGUGCAAAUCGAUCGUCAGAGCUGGGUAUAGGGGCGAAAGACUAAUCGAACCAUCUAGUAGCUGGUUCCCUCCGAAGUUUCCCUCAGGAUAGCUGGAACUCGACACCGCAUGAAUUUCAUCCGGUAAAGCGAAUGAUUAGAGGUCUUGGGGACGAAAUGUCCUCAACCUAUUCUCAAACUUUAAAUGGGUGAGAUGCCGAGCUUGCUUAGAUGAUGAAGCCUCGGCGAAGAAUCGGAGUUCCUAGUGGGCCACUUUU
Molecule: ribosomal RNA, 583 nt
Filed under: Palinurus elephas
Lineage: Eukaryota; Metazoa; Arthropoda; Malacostraca; Decapoda; Palinuridae
Description: eukaryotic LSU rRNA
Rfam family: Eukaryotic large subunit ribosomal RNA
Source: RNAcentral